This 255-nucleotide long non-coding RNA is filed under the name Volvox carteri. Its description in RNAcentral is "long non-coding RNA (VCAR_LNC001291)". The record is from RNAcentral. Lineage: Eukaryota; Viridiplantae; Chlorophyta; Chlorophyceae; Chlamydomonadales; Volvocaceae.
AUACAUACAUGUGCGUGCAUGGUGCGCCUGGCGGACGAAUGCAAGGAAAGGACUAUUAAGGCGCCGGGAUCCCCGUCCUCGAUUCCACUCAAACAGUCUGUACAUGGCGGCAGCAGUCCGCUCCGUUACACCGGCAGUGCGCCACAGUUCUGUAGUGAAUAUCAAUGUAGGGACACGGAUCCGAAACCACAAUGCUGCCUACAUAGCAGCUGCUCCGGCCAAAGCAGGACCGCAUUGCGGCUGCGUGGAGCCCCC